RNAcentral lists this small nuclear RNA (138 nucleotides) under Mustela putorius furo (domestic ferret). RNAcentral describes it as "7SK RNA". It matches the Rfam family "7SK RNA", at positions 190 to 331 of the family's 331-position model. Rfam says of the family: 7SK was discovered as an abundant small nuclear RNA in the mid-70s but a possible function has only recently been suggested. Two independent studies have found that 7SK RNA binds the CDK9/cyclin T complex (known as elongation factor P-TEFb). P-TEFb activates transcription by phosphorylating the C-terminal domain of RNA polymerase II. The record is from Rfam by way of RNAcentral. Lineage: Eukaryota; Metazoa; Chordata; Mammalia; Carnivora; Mustelidae.
GUUUAUUAGUAGAGGCAAUAGUUUGCAACCUCUGAACAAGCUCUCAAGGUCCGUUGUAGGAGGAUGUAGGGUAAUCGAGCUUCUAAGACUCCAAACUCAUCUAAAGGGGGUUGCUGCACAUGGCAGUCUGUCAUUCUU